GGUUAGCCCAACGAGAACUGGGAGUAACACCUGGAAACAGAUGCUAAUACCGGAUAACAACACUAGACGCAUGUCUAGAGUUUAAAAGAUGGUUCUGCUAUCACUCUUGGAUGGACCUGCGAUGCAUUAGCUAGUUGGUAAGGCAACGGCUUACCAAGGCAAUGAUGCAUAGCCGAGUUGAGAGACUGAUCGGCCACAUUGGGACUGAGACACGGCCCAAACUCCUACGGGAGGCAGCAGGU
Molecule: ribosomal RNA, 242 nt
Filed under: uncultured bacterium
Lineage: Bacteria
Description: partial 16S ribosomal RNA
Rfam family: Bacterial small subunit ribosomal RNA
Source: RNAcentral